Molecule: ribosomal RNA, 497 nt
Filed under: uncultured bacterium
Lineage: Bacteria
Description: partial 16S ribosomal RNA
Rfam family: Bacterial small subunit ribosomal RNA
Source: RNAcentral
GAUGAACGCUGGCGGCGUGCCUAAUACAUGCAAGUCGAGCGAACGGACGAGAAGCUUGCUUCUCUGAUGUUAGCGGCGGACGGGUGAGUAACACGUGGAUAACCUACCUAUAAGACUGGGAUAACUUCGGGAAACCGGAGCUAAUACCGGAUAAUAUUUUGAACCGCAUGGUUCAAAAGUGAAAGACGGUCUUGCUGUCACUUAUAGAUGGAUCCGCGCUGCAUUAGCUAGUUGGCAAGGUAACGGCUUACCAAGGCAACGAUGCAUAGCCGACCUGAGAGGGUGAUCGGCCACACUGGAACUGAGACACGGUCCAGACUCCUACGGGAGGCAGCAGUAGGGAAUCUUCCGCAAUGGGCGAAAGCCUGACGGAGCAACGCCGCGUGAGUGAUGAAGGUCUUCGGAUCGUAAAACUCUGUUAUUAGGGAAGAACAUAUGUGUAAGUAACUGUGCACAUCUUGACGGUACCUAAUCAGAAAGCCACGGCUAACUACGUA